RNAcentral lists this ribosomal RNA (789 nucleotides) under uncultured Adhaeribacter sp. RNAcentral's name for it is "bacterial SSU rRNA". It matches the Rfam family "Bacterial small subunit ribosomal RNA", at positions 8 to 796 of the family's 1533-position model. The record is from RNAcentral. Lineage: Bacteria; Pseudomonadati; Bacteroidota; Cytophagia; Cytophagales; Hymenobacteraceae.
AGAGUUUGAUCCUGGCUCAGGAUGAACGCUAGCGGCAGGCCUAAUACAUGCAAGUCGAACGGGACUGAGUAGCAAUACUUAGUCUAGUGGCGCACGGGUGCGUAACGCGUAUGCAACCUACCUUUUAUUGGGGGAUAGCCCGUCGAAAGACGGAUUAAUACCGCAUAAUAUCCUUUGAUGGCAUCUGAAGAGGAUUAAAGCUACGGCGAUAGAAGAUGGGCAUGCGUGACAUUAGCUAGUUGGUUGAGGUAACGGCUCACCAAGGCUACGAUGUCUAGGGGUUCUGAGAGGAUGAUCCCCCACACUGGUACUGAGAUACGGACCAGACUCCUACGGGAGGCAGCAGUAGGGAAUAUUGGGCAAUGGACGCAAGUCUGACCCAGCCAUGCCGCGUGCAGGAUGAAGGCCUUCUGGGUUGUAAACUGCUUUUACCAGGGAAGAAAAAACUCAUGCGUGAGGAACUGACGGUACCUGGUGAAUAAGCACCGGCUAACUCCGUGCCAGCAGCCGCGGUAAUACGGAGGGUGCAAGCGUUGUCCGGAUUUAUUGGGUUUAAAGGGUGCGUAGGCGGCCUGUUAAGUCCGUGGUGAAAGCCAACAGCUCAACUGUUGAACUGCCAUGGAUACUGACAGGCUUGAGUACAGACGAGGUUGGCGGAAUUGAUGCUGUAGCGGUGAAAUGCAUAGAUAGCAUCAAGAACACCGAUUGCGUAGGCAGCUAACUAGGCUGUAACUGACGCUGAGGCACGAAAGCGUGGGGAGCGAACAGGAUUAGAUACCCCCGUAGUCC